GAUGAACGCUGGCGGCGUGCCUAAUACAUGCAAGUCGAGCGAACAGACGAGGAGCUUGCUCCUCUGACGUUAGCGGCGGACGGGUGAGUAACACGUGGAUAACCUACCUAUAAGACUGGGAUAACUUCGGGAAACCGGAGCUAAUACCGGAUAAUAUAUUGAACCGCAUGGUUCAAUAGUGAAAGACGGUUUUGCUGUCACUUAUAGAUGGAUCCGCGCCGCAUUAGCUAGUUGGUAAGGUAACGGCUUACCAAGGCAACGAUGCGUAGCCGACCUGAGAGGGUGAUCGGCCACACGAGAACGGAGACACGGUCCAGACUCCUGCGGGAGGCAGCAGUAGGGAAUCUUGCAGAAUGGGCGAAAGCUUGACGGAGCAACGCCGCGUGAGUGAUGAAGGUCUUCGGAUCGUAAAACUCUGUUAUUAGGGAAGAACAAAUGUGUAGGUAACUAUGCACGUCUUGACGGUACCUAAUCAGAAAGCCACGGCUAACUACGUG
This 497-nucleotide ribosomal RNA is filed under the name uncultured bacterium. RNAcentral's name for it is "partial 16S ribosomal RNA". It matches the Rfam family "Bacterial small subunit ribosomal RNA", at positions 28 to 507 of the family's 1533-position model. The record is from RNAcentral.